RNAcentral lists this long non-coding RNA (990 nucleotides) under Nicotiana tabacum (common tobacco). RNAcentral describes it as "long non-coding RNA (NTAB_LNC011084)". The record is from RNAcentral. Lineage: Eukaryota; Viridiplantae; Streptophyta; Magnoliopsida; Solanales; Solanaceae.
UUUCACCUAUAGCCUUUGCUGUAGCUAGUCCUAGACCAGAGGAGGCUCCUGUAAUUAUCACAUUGCCUUUCCUGAGGGUUUUCUUCUGUUCUGAGGUAGACUGGUUGACUGCUGGUGUGGUAGCAGCUGUUUGUGCUCUAAUAGGAGGUACAACUGCUAUUUUCUUUGUCAAUUCCUAUUACAUGAUAUGCAAUGAUAUUAGUUUAUCUCAUUCUUUAUAAUGCUUUUAAGCAGUACAUAUCAAGUGAGAAAUGUAAGAUAACCAAAACCGUAAAUAGACAUCAAUUAUAUGUUCUAGAUAGACCCAAAAACCAUUUGGAACUCUUAAAUACUUGGCAGACUAAGAAGAAUGAUUGCCUCUUAAACCAUUUGAAAUAUAUUGUGAUGGCCUCAAGAGGCAAUCUUUCUUCUUAUUCUGCCAAGUAUUUUGAUAUCCUAAAAUGGCUUUCCAUGAGAAGGGAAGCUUUGGAGCAAUGGUAAAGUUGUCUCUGUGUAACCUAUAGGUCACGGGUUCGAUCUGUGAAAGCAACCACUAAUGCUUGCAUUAGGGUAGACUAUCUACGUCACAUCUCUGGGGUGAGACCCUUCCUAUGAUCCUGCAUGAACGCGGAGUGCCUUGUGCACAACGGCGGAUGCAGCUUGAAAGUAUCGAGUUCGUCUGAACCCAGUACUUUCGACAUGACGUAUAAAUUUAAGUGUAAAAAUUCACUAAAAUUGCAAAAUAUAAUAGAUAUGAAACCAUAACUUUAAAAAUAUGAUUAUUUUGAACCCAUAGAGUUUAAAUUCUCGAAUUGUGCUUCUUGGGCUAUAAUAUACAUGUUCAUCUUAGUAGAGAAUUAUGCAAGAACUAGCACACUAAAUAUAAAAAAACUAAACUUGCAGACUCUGUAUAAUGAAUGGUACCUUGUUCCAUGCAGCAGGAGGACUGAAUUUUGAUUUUAGAUUGUAAGACAAUGCAACACCAAAGAGGCUACUGUCCUUGAGAGUGAU